Molecule: long non-coding RNA, 1996 nt
Organism: Lutra lutra (Eurasian river otter)
Lineage: Eukaryota; Metazoa; Chordata; Mammalia; Carnivora; Mustelidae
Exons: 2
Source: RefSeq, a predicted model, not a curated record
GCAGGAUGGCUUUUAAGAGGUAUCCAUGUGUUGAACUACAGUCUUCGGCUCAACAUUUAAGUAUGAGCAUCCCAGGAAUACUUCAAGAGUGGGUGGUGCCCCAUCUCCUCCUCCCUUUUCUCCCCAGGAUUUGGUAAUUUUCCUGCAGGAAAAUGUGUCUCCUUUUCACCCCACUCUUCCUAGGUGGCUCUGCGGUGAUAGGCAGCCCAGUGGGCAGCUUCAGGUGUUUCUUAAAUUGUUCCUUUCUCACAGCCUGAAAAUUUGCAUACUGAGUUGAGCGUUGAAGUCUAGUGAGGAAGUUCAGAUGGGGAAGUAGGGUGAUAGUUAAAUAUUGAUGAAACCACUAUGUUUCUACUUCCCAGCUUGAGGGAGCUUAACCGUUUGACUUUCUGCUCUGGCAAACUUUGAACUCCUCCUGAGGAGGAGACACCCCUGGGAAGGAAGUGGGUGCUUGGUCUACCUGUUACCCUCUUACGGCCUUCUGGAAUGUGAGUUUUGCAGGCUCCUCCCUCCUCUUUAGCUAGAAACUCAGCACUCCCUGAUGCUAUCUCAUGCUGUUAGUGGGAUUGUCACUUAAUUAUUUUUCUGGUUGCUUUGUGUGAGCACUCACUCUUUGUUGGGAAGCUGGAAGAAUCCAAAGCUGAGUCUGGAAUUGUUCUGGGAUCCAUCUUUCUUCUGUGUUUUCGGGAGAUUGACCUUUUACAUUGUAGCACUGUGUCCUCUCCUUUGCAGUUCUUGGUAAACUUAAUACUCAAAUGCAGUCUUUUUCUUUGCCGGUUUUUUUGGUGGUGGUAGCAAUACACACGACAUGAAACUUACUAUAUGAGCCAUUUUUAUAUAGUUCUUCUUAUCUGUUUUUAAUAGGUCUCUCCUAACUUAUCCUGUUUUUUCCAUCUUUUUUUUUUUUUUUUCUGGUCUAAAAAUUGAGGCAUAUUACUGAAAAAGUGAGUGGGCUUUAAAACAGCAGUUCUGAUUCUGGCUUUAUACCCAAUUCCUGGUCCCUGGAGGAGUUAGAAUGCCUGGCUGUUGUGUGGCUCUCCUGUUUGUGGGGUCUGGUGGACAGCACAACGGCCUUUAUCACCUUUGGUUUAGAUUUACUUUCUUGCUGAUUACCUUUCUCUCUCCUUCACAUUAGAGCACACACUCAUAGGGGAGAGGCAAAUAGCCCUUUGCUCUGAGUUCCUCGUGUAGACUCCACCUUUGUUUGCUCUGGGGCAGAUAGUGGUGCUCCCUUCCCCCAGCUUGCCUCCCCCCCGGGUGAAUUUGAAGUGCUGGAGGACAGUGGGUCUCCCUGGGUGAACAUUUGUGAACAAGGUGAUACCGAGCAGCCCUUUGCUCACAGGCUCACUCCUGACUUUUCCAUUACUGGUUUUCUUUGAAUUUCAUCUCUGGCUUUUUUCUAAAAAGAGAAACUCCAGAGUGGCAGAAUGCCAGAUUUAGGCUAAUCCCCUUCUGUCCUUGGCCCUGAUCUGCCUCGGAGCACCAGUGCCCUGUCAGUUCUGUGCCUGGAGGUGUAUAGUGUGCUUGGGGACUCUUCCGUGUGGAGGAUGGUAAUGUUUAAGCCAAAGUCAUUUCAUGGAGAAUGCUGUGAUCGGCCCGUUGACUAACAUGAACAAAUUGCUGCUGUGACCCUCCACCUCCCUUGGGAUCUCUACUUCUUGGACCAUGGAGAGUCCGAUUAUUACCUAAAGGAAAGCCUUUAGAAUGUAUCCUCUGGGGGGGCAGAGGUGGGUGGGCUGAAAGUUCAAAACUGUUUCUGGAUAUGCCAACCCUAGGGUGGUUGGAAUAGCAUAAAGUUUAUUUUUCCCAUCCUGACUUGCAGGAGUUAGUCCCAGCCAGCGUCUUGCAGGACGGAUUGAUCUGGAAGGGACAGGCAUUGCACACAGAUUCUGUCUUGAAGCAGAAGUCUUCCCUUAUUCCCUUAGACAUAGUCAUAGAUGUUGAUUCUGCAAACUUCUGUUUCAUUGUAGAGAGAACUGAUCCUCUGUAGAAGGAG